UGGGGAAUAUUGGACAAUGGGCGCAAGCCUGAUCCAGCCAUGCCGCGUGUGUGAAGAAGGCCUUCGGGUUGUAAAGCACUUUCAGUGGGGAGGAAGGGUGUUGUGUUAAUAGCACAGCAUUUUGACGUUACCCACAGAAGAAGCACCGGCUAACUCCGUGCCAGCAGCCGCGGUAAUACGGAGGGUGCAAGCGUUAAUCGGAAUUACUGGGCGUAAAGCGCACGCAGGCGGCUUUUUAAGUCGGAUGUGAAAGCCCCGGGCUCAACCUGGGAAUUGCAUCUGAUACUGGGAAGCUAGAGUAUGUGAGAGGGGGGUAGAAUUCCAAGUGUAGCGGUGAAAUGCGUAGAGAUUUGGAGGAAUACCAGUGGCGAAGGCGGCCCCCUGG
This 385-nucleotide ribosomal RNA is filed under the name uncultured bacterium. RNAcentral's name for it is "bacterial SSU rRNA". It matches the Rfam family "Bacterial small subunit ribosomal RNA", at positions 355 to 732 of the family's 1533-position model. The record is from RNAcentral.